This 56-nucleotide non-coding RNA is filed under the name Streptomyces sp. FxanaA7. Its description in RNAcentral is "L17-Actino-Proteobacteria ribosomal protein leader". It matches the Rfam family "L17-Actino-Proteobacteria ribosomal protein leader". The record is from RNAcentral. Lineage: Bacteria; Bacillati; Actinomycetota; Actinomycetes; Kitasatosporales; Streptomycetaceae.
CGACGGGCAUCCGCCCGCUCGGAUACUGACCCCGGUACCUGAUACGGCCGGGGCAG